RNAcentral lists this ribosomal RNA (369 nucleotides) under uncultured organism. RNAcentral's name for it is "bacterial SSU rRNA". It matches the Rfam family "Bacterial small subunit ribosomal RNA", at positions 526 to 896 of the family's 1533-position model. The record is from RNAcentral.
CGUAGGUGGCAAGCGUUGUCCGGAUUUACUGGGCGUAAAGCGAACGCAGGCGGAUCUUUAAGUAGGAAGUGAAAGGUUGGAGCUCAACUCUAACACUGCUCCCUAUACUGGAGAUCUUGAGUGCCGGAGAGGAAAACGGAACAAGUUGUGUAGCGGUGAAAUGCGUUGAUAUAACUUGGAACACCAAUGGCGAAAGCAGUUUUCUGGACGGAUACUGACGCUCAUGUUCGAAAGCCAAGGUAGCAAACAGGAUUAGAUACCCUGGUAGUCUUGGCCUUAAACGAUGUUCACUAGGUGUUGGGGGGGUAACCCUCGGUGCCGCAGCUAACGCAUUAAGUGAACCGCCUGGGGACUACGGCCGCAAGGUUG